UGUAGUGGACUCAACGAGUCAACAAAUAGAUAUAGUAGGUUAAGAUCGUCACUAGCUAUAGAUUUCUGUGCAGCGACGGACUCUCGGCGGUGUGUUUUGAUGAUUAGGCUCCUUAGAUUUGGACGAAGAUGUUUAGAUUACUUAUUUUGUUGAUGUUACUCUGUUGAGAUUUUUGAUCAGAUUGAAAUAAUCUUUUGAUCAGCUUUGUUUGCUUGUGUUCGUUAGACUUGAGAUGUUUAGAUCGAUCUAAGAUUUUUUUUUUUUUUUUCUUUUAUCAGCUUGAAAUAAUCUUUAGUUGUUUUCUCUGUUUUGUUACUGUAUAAGAUGAUUAUACUCUGGUUGAUAUACGAUUUUGUUUUGUAGUGUCUCGUCUUCUCAGCAGUCGCUCAGUGAAGAAGAUAAGAACAAGGAAGGAAGCAGCUCGGAAGAUGAUUGUUUUCUCUCAUCAUCACACGAACUAAGACUUGGAAACAUCCAAAACGGUCUAAGGGAGCUUAGCGUUGAUCACUCAUCCUUGGCUUCACUCCUCAGCAAGCGACUGGAUAUUACCUGGAACUCCAUGGUGAAAGCCAAGGAGAGUUACACCAGCAAGGAGUGGGAUGCUGUUCUUAAGCAUACUAGCGAUGCAAUUGAGCAAGGGGAGGCAAACGGGCUUUGCUUGCACUUUUACCUACUAUGAAACCUUAUGUGUCUUUUGAACCCUUGCAUUUGAAUUUGGGCAAAUAAGGGGACAAAAGCCCUUUACUUGCUUUUAUGUGUGGCCCAUUACAGUUAUGCAAAGUUGCAAACCCCAGCAUCUCUUGCUAAUUGUACUUUUGGAAACGUUCACAUCUUCACCUCGUAGUAUAUAGAUAAUGAAUCUUCUUGAUACA
This is a long non-coding RNA of Raphanus sativus (radish), 872 nucleotides long. RefSeq lists it as uncharacterized. Lineage: Eukaryota; Viridiplantae; Streptophyta; Magnoliopsida; Brassicales; Brassicaceae. The transcript has 2 exons. The record is from RefSeq and is a predicted model, not a curated record.